Long non-coding RNA from Juglans microcarpa x Juglans regia, 170 nucleotides. RefSeq lists it as uncharacterized. The record is from RefSeq and is a predicted model, not a curated record. Lineage: Eukaryota; Viridiplantae; Streptophyta; Magnoliopsida; Fagales; Juglandaceae. The transcript has 3 exons.
AAUUUUGGCUAGUUUUUGCGGCAACUUUGAUCACUAGAAAUAGCCUUAUUUCUUGUAGUGAGCAAAGCCACGGUUUUCUUUUCCGAUGUAAUGUUCCCUAACGAUUAUCCCACCAUAGAUCUUGGCUGCCUCGUCGCUGUUGAUGAUGACAGGCUGGUCUGGCUUUAAUA